UACGGAGGUCCCAAGCGUUGUUCGGAAUUACUGGGCGUAAAGGGAGCGCAGGCGGACAGGUUAGUCUAAAGUGGAAGCCCGGGGCUCAACCUCGGAAGGUCUUUGGAUACUGCCUGUCUUGAGUUUGUCAGAGGAAAGCGGAAUUCAGGGUGUAGCGGUGAAAUGCUUAGAUAUCCUGAGGAACACCGAUGGCGAAAGCAGCUUUCUGGGACAUGACUGACGCUGAGGCUCGAAAGCGUGGGUAGCAAACGGGAUUAGAUACCCCGGUAGUCCACGCCGUAAACGUUGUGCACUAGGUGCAGGAGGUAUCGACCCCUUCUGUGCCGCAGCUAACGCAUUAAGUGCACCGCCUGGGGAGUACGGUCGCAAGACUGAA
Molecule: ribosomal RNA, 376 nt
Filed under: uncultured bacterium
Lineage: Bacteria
Description: bacterial SSU rRNA
Rfam family: Bacterial small subunit ribosomal RNA
Source: RNAcentral